AGCAGCCGCGGUAAUUCCAGCUCCAAUAGCGUAUAUUAAAGUUGUUGCAGUUAAAAAGCUCGUAGUUGAAUUUUGGGUUUGGCCAAUUGGUCCGUUCUUGUAACGAGUACUGGUUGGUUGGGCCUCACCGCCUGGUGAUACGUAAUGUCCUUUAUUGGGUGUUGCGAGUAGCCAGGACCUUUACCUUGAAAAAAUUAGAGUGUUUAAAGCAGGCUUAUGCCGGAAUACAUUAGCAUGGAAUAAUAGAAUAGGACGAUGAUUCUAUUUUGUUGGUUUCUAGGAGCAUCGUAAUGAUUAAUAGGGAUAGUUGGGGGCAUUAGUAUUCAAUUGUCAGAGGUGAAAUUCUUGGAUUUAUUGAAGACUAACUACUGCGAAAGCAUUUGCCAAGGAUGUUUUCAUUAAUCAAGAACGAAAGUUAGGGGAUCGAAGACGAUCAGAUACCGUCGUAGUCUUAACCAUAAACUAUGCCGACUAGGGAUCGGGCGAUGUUGUUUCAAUGACUCGCUCGGCACCUUAUGGA
RNAcentral lists this unclassified non-coding RNA (520 nucleotides) under uncultured Archaeospora. Its description in RNAcentral is "SSU rRNA". It matches the Rfam family "Eukaryotic small subunit ribosomal RNA", at positions 569 to 1094 of the family's 1831-position model. Lineage: Eukaryota; Fungi; Glomeromycota; Glomeromycetes; Archaeosporales; Archaeosporaceae. The record is from RNAcentral.